GCAGCCAGAGUAGCCGAUGCUGUGCGAGGUCGGCGCCAUCAGCAGCAGGAUGUCCAUCCGCGCCGGAUCGAACGCCUCGGCGAGACGCGCCAGGUUUGACUGCACGCCAUCGNNNNNNNNNNNGUAGAACGGCGCGUCGCCCAGCAAGGGCAGCGCCUUCACAACGCCGCCGCCGGUGCCGAGCACCACGUCGCGCUCGUCGGAGAUGAUGACGCGCGGAGC
RNAcentral lists this unclassified non-coding RNA (222 nucleotides) under Hevea brasiliensis (rubber tree). The record is from RNAcentral. Lineage: Eukaryota; Viridiplantae; Streptophyta; Magnoliopsida; Malpighiales; Euphorbiaceae.